Molecule: ribosomal RNA, 253 nt
Filed under: uncultured bacterium
Lineage: Bacteria
Description: partial 16S ribosomal RNA
Rfam family: Bacterial small subunit ribosomal RNA
Source: RNAcentral
UACGUAGGUCCCGAACGUUGCGCGGAAUUACUGGGCGUAAAGCGUGCGCAGGCGGUUUUGUAAGUCUGAUGUGAAAUCCCCGGGCUCAACCUGGGAAUUGCAUUGGAGACUGCAAGGCUAGAAUCUGGCAGAGGGGGGUAGAAUUCCACGUGUAGCAGUGAAAUGCGUAGAGAUGUGGAGGAACACCGAUGGCGAAGGCAGCCCCCUGGGUCAAGAUUGACGCUCAUGCACGAAAGCGUGGGGAGCGAACAGG